CGGAGGGUGCAAGCGUUAUCCGGAUUCACCGGGUUUAAAGGGUGCGUAGGUGGGCAAGUAAGUCAGUGGUGAAAUCUCCGGGCUUAACCCGGAAACUGCCAUUGAUACUAUUUGUCUUGAAUACUGUGGAGGUCAGCGGAAUAUGUCAUGUAGCGGUGAAAUGCUUAGAUAUGACAUAGAACACCAAUUGCGAAGGCAGCUGGCUACACAAAUAUUGACACUGAGGCACGAAAGCGUGGGGAUCAAACAGGAUUAGAUACCCUGGUAGUCCACGCCCUAAACUAUGGAUACUCGACAUUUGCGAUAAACUGCAAGUGUCUGAGCGAAAGCAUUAAGUAUCCCACCUGGGAAGUACGAUCGCAAGAUUG
RNAcentral lists this ribosomal RNA (368 nucleotides) under uncultured organism. Its description in RNAcentral is "bacterial SSU rRNA". It matches the Rfam family "Bacterial small subunit ribosomal RNA", at positions 526 to 896 of the family's 1533-position model. The record is from RNAcentral.